UACGUAGGGUGCAAGCGUUGCCCGGAUUUAUUGGGCGUAAAGGGCGCGUAGGCGGCUCGGCACGUCCGUUGUGAAAUCGCCCGGCUCAACUGGGCGGGGUCAGCGGAUACGGUCGAGCUUGAGCAAGCUAGGGGGCAAUGGAAUUCCCGGUGUAGUGGUGGAAUGCGUAGAUAUCGAGAGGAACACCUGCGGCGAAGGCGGGUUGCUGGGCUGACACUGACGCUGAUGCGCGAAAGCCAGGGGAGCGAACGGG
RNAcentral lists this ribosomal RNA (253 nucleotides) under uncultured bacterium. RNAcentral's name for it is "partial 16S ribosomal RNA". It matches the Rfam family "Bacterial small subunit ribosomal RNA", at positions 524 to 776 of the family's 1533-position model. The record is from RNAcentral.